UGGGGAAUAUUGGACAAUGGGGGAAACCCUGAUCCAGCGACGCCGCGUGAGUGAAGAAGUAUUUCGGUAUGUAAAGCUCUAUCAGCAGGGAAGAAAAUGACGGUACCUGACUAAGAAGCCCCGGCUAACUACGUGCCAGCAGCCGCGGUAAUACGUAGGGGGCAAGCGUUAUCCGGAUUUACUGGGUGUAAAGGGAGCGUAGACGGUUCUGCAAGUCUGGAGUGAAAGCCCGGGGCUCAACCCCGGGACUGCUUUGGAAACUGUGGAACUAGAGUGCAGGAGAGGUAAGUGGAAUUCCUAGUGUAGCGGUGAAAUGCGUAGAUAUUAGGAGGAACACCAGUGGCGAAGGCGGCUUACUGGACUGUAACUGACGUUGAGGCUCGAAAGCGUGGGGAGCAAACA
This 402-nucleotide ribosomal RNA is filed under the name uncultured bacterium. RNAcentral describes it as "bacterial SSU rRNA". It matches the Rfam family "Bacterial small subunit ribosomal RNA", at positions 355 to 774 of the family's 1533-position model. The record is from RNAcentral.